This 343-nucleotide unclassified non-coding RNA is filed under the name soil metagenome. RNAcentral describes it as "partial contains 5.8S ribosomal RNA, internal transcribed spacer 2, and large subunit ribosomal RNA". The stretch from base 1 to 120 matches the Rfam family "5.8S ribosomal RNA", at positions 35 to 154 of the family's 154-position model. The record is from RNAcentral.
GAUGAAGAACGCAGCGAAAUGCGAUAAGUAAUGUGAAUUGCAGAAUUCAGUGAAUCAUCGAAUCUUUGAACGCACAUUGCGCCCGCUAGUAUUCUGGCGGGCAUGCCUGUCCGAGCGUCAUUUCAACCCUCAAGCCCCCGGGCUUGGUGUUGGGGAUCGGCGAGCCUCCGCGCCCGCCGUCCCCUAAAUCUAGUGGCGGUCUCGCUGUAGCUUCCUCUGCGUAGUAGCACACCUCGCACUGGGAAACAGCGCGCCCACGCCGUUAAACCCCCAACUUCUGAACGUUUGACCUCGGAUCAGGUAGGAAUACCCGCUGAACUUAAGCAUAUCAAUAAGCGGAGGA